UAGUAUUUCAUUUUUGAAUUCUAAGUGUUUUUUUAAUGAUCAGUAAAUUUGAUAAUGGUGAGCUGCUUAAGAUUGUAUUUAGUGGUUUGAUUAACAAAAUCUCUUGAUUUAUACAGAUUCACUUUAAGACUUAAAAAAGGAUAAUAAUUACCCGAAAGAAUAACAAUGAACUAUGUUUGAGAAGAUUUUGUCUUCCUAACCUGUAGCACAUCAUCCACAAAAAAAUGAGUUGGAUUUUUUUCCCGACCACGAAAGAGGUUGCCAGUGACUCUUAUGAACUAUUUUAUCAAUUAAAUUACCAAGCUUUUCCAUCUAAAUAACAACAAAAAAAAUACGAAAAAUCUCCUUGUCGGAGGUGACAAAGACGUUU
RNAcentral lists this long non-coding RNA (370 nucleotides) under Lathyrus oleraceus (garden pea). RNAcentral's name for it is "Pisum sativum (pea) long non-coding RNA (PSAT_LNC038046)". The record is from RNAcentral. Lineage: Eukaryota; Viridiplantae; Streptophyta; Magnoliopsida; Fabales; Fabaceae.